RNA transcript from Apis laboriosa (Himalayan honeybee), 5008 nucleotides. It is a transcript of the gene named kinesin-like protein Klp10A, with no coding region annotated. The transcript is spliced from 12 exons. Lineage: Eukaryota; Metazoa; Arthropoda; Insecta; Hymenoptera; Apidae. The record is from RefSeq and is a predicted model, not a curated record.
UAUCCCGGCACAAAAUCCCGGAAACAUCUCGUUCGUGAAAUUCAACGAAUCUCCGAAUGUAAUUUCGAAUCGUUGUGUCUUCGUUUUGGUGUACUUUCAAAUUCGUGGAAAGAGAGUGUGCCGUCUCGUGGAUUACACGUCGUAUCAUUUUAACGAGAAUUCGCGAAAACGGGCGUGCCUUGGACAAUCGGCGACGUCCCUGACGUGAAAAUACACAACGGCGAGAAGUGGUGGACAACGACAGCAAGACAUCGAUUGCGGUUAACAUUGCGACAAAAAGGACUAACAGUCCAUAGAGGCGAUAAAGCAGAAGAACAAAGAAAAGGGAAACGAGGAAAAUAGAACCGAACGGCAAUAGUAACAGCAGCAGUGGUAACAACGGUGACGGGAAGGGAAAAGUACAAGCUACAACGGUGGAGAGGAACGCGAUACAGCCGCGUGAUUUUAAACGCGAAUACAGACGUAACUGUCAACGGUCAGAUUUGAAAGUCUCGCAAAUUGCAGGGUCCUCGUAAGGCUUCCCUCGCUAGAAUCGUUGUAUUUUCGUCACGUCAACAUCGUUAACGUCGUGUCAUAUUGUCGCCGUCUUUGUCGUCGUCGUCGUCGUCGUCGUCUACGUUGUCGUGUUCGAUCCGGUGAAAAACCGGUCGUCUUAUAAUAUUAACCACGGUGUGAGAACGCGACUAAAUGACCAUGGACCUCCGCAUGUACAACAUCGAGACCGGCUACAGUAUAAAUAUCAAAAGGACGGACGGUCGUGUUCAUUCGGCAGUGGUUUCGGGUAUUAAUUGGGAACAACGCACCGUUACCGUAGAAUGGUUCGAGAGAGGAGAGACGAAAGGAAAAGAGGUCGAGAUAGAUGCGAUCAUCGCGUUGAAUCCCGACCUGACCAAUCAGAAAACCAUAGAAUCACCCGCUCAGAUGAACAAUCACACGUUGAUAUCUUCCAGAGCACGGCAUUCGAUCAAGCCAUCGAUUCCAGUGAAAGCGGGUUUCAACAGACAAUCGUCGCGACAAACGGGUCGGCCAACCAACAUAAUGCCGCCGGGCAGCACCGUGAACGGCCACGGUGACUCUGUGGCUGGAUUGACAGGUAGAAGGGAGGCGGAGAACGUGCCAACACCUACCACGGCCACCGCCGCUUCCUUCAACGUCACCCUCUCGGCCCUGGCCAAACAGAAGCAGCAGCAGCAGCAGCAGCAGCAGCAACAGCAGCAGCAGCAACAGCAACAGCAGCAGCAGCAACAGGCGGCACAACAGGUGGAGAACGGUCGUGGGAGGCGUACGAACGUGGUGAAGGAGGUGGAGAGGUUGAAGAAGAACCGGGAGGAAAGAAGGCAGAGGCAAGCCGAGUUGAAGGAAGAGAAGGAGGCUCUGAUGAAUUUAGAUCCUGGUAAUCCAAAUUGGGAGUUUCUCGCUAUGAUAAGGGAGUAUCAGAACAGCAUCGAGUUCAGGCCGCUACGCGAGUCGGACGUGGUGGAGGAUCAUCAAAUCACCGUGUGCGUGAGAAAGCGCCCCCUGAACAAGAAGGAGAUAGCGCGGAAAGAGGUGGACGUGAUCAGCGUGCCCAGCAAGGAUCAGAUGGUGGUACACGAGCCGAAGGCCAAAGUCGAUCUCACCAAAUAUUUGGAGAAUCAAAUUUUCCGUUUCGACUACGCGUUCGACGAGACGUGCAACAACGAGAUCGUGUACAAGUACACGGCGAAACCUCUGGUCCAGACCAUCUUCGAGGGCGGGAUGGCAACCUGCUUCGCGUACGGUCAAACGGGAAGCGGGAAAACCCAUACGAUGGGCGGUGAUUUCAACGGGAAAACUCAGGAUUGCAAGAAAGGUAUAUACGCGAUGGUUGCCAACGACGUGUUCAAAUGCCUCAAAUUGUCCAAAUACCGCUCCCUGAAUCUCAUCAUUUCCGCGAGUUUCUUCGAGAUUUAUUCGGGGAAAGUGUUCGAUUUAUUGGCGGACAAGGAAAAACUUCGCGUUUUGGAGGAUGGGAAACAACAGGUGCAGAUUGUCGGAUUGACGGAGAAGGUGGUGGAAUCGUGCGAGGAAGUAUUGAAAUUGAUACAACACGGGAACAGCGCGAGGACCAGCGGGCAGACAAGCGCCAAUUCCAACUCGUCCCGGUCGCACGCCGUGUUUCAAAUCAUAGCCCGUACGCCGGCCACCCAUAAAGUUCAUGGAAAAUUCUCGUUGAUCGAUCUUGCCGGAAACGAGAGGGGAGCCGACACGUCUUCCGCCAACAGACAAACUCGAAUGGAAGGUGCAGAGAUCAACAAGUCACUGUUGGCCUUGAAAGAAUGCAUUCGAGCCCUGGGCCGCAAAGGAACGCAUUUACCGUUCAGGGCUAGCAAAUUGACGCAAGUGUUAAGGGACAGCUUCAUCGGUGAAAAAUCGAAAACUUGCAUGAUCGCCAUGAUCAGCCCGGGAAUGAGUUCCUGCGAGCAUUCGUUGAACACACUGAGAUACGCGGAUCGAGUGAAGGAGUUGGCCGCCACUGAUCCGACGGAAGUGAAAAUUUCCUCGACGGACGACGAACGGGAAUUAAAAAUCGAGGCACAGUCGAACAACGUGCUGUCUGACAGCGACUUGGCUCAACUACGAUCCCUUAACGAGAGCGAAAUAUCCCAAGAUCUUUACACGUUUCACGAGGCUGUAUCCGCGUUGCAAAUGCUGGAGGAGGAAGUCUUGGAUACGCACAAAAUGGUUAUGGAUCAAACGACCAGAUUUCUCAAUGAUGCACACAGUGUGUUCAGUGUGACUCACGAAGUAGACUAUGACCAAGAAGAUUCACGCGGUAAAGAUAAGGCAAAGGCAAGUCGUCGGUUAGAAUCGAACUUAGAAGGAAGGACAACAACAACAACAACAACAACGACGACGACGAUGACAACGACAGCAACAACAUCAACAACUACGACGACGACGAUGACAACGAGUUCGAGCACGGUGGCUGUGUCGAUAAGUGACGAUAACGUGAAUAUCGAUAGGAAAAUAAAGAAUUCGUUAAAAUCACCAUGGCGGGACGAAAUGGAAUGUGAAAGUGACGUAAAUUUUUGCGAUAGAUAUCACGAAUCACCGAACGUUUUCGAAUUGGCUCGCGUCGAGGAAAUCGCGGCGGAUCGUAUUAUUCGUCCAAAGAACUUAUCGCGCAUCGAAAAUAUUUGGAGGACUAACGAUUUGUCUGGAAACGUGGGCGAGAGAGGAAACCCGUUUUGUCGGAUGGAUAACAGUGCGCAACGAUUUAAACGAGCCACAAGCAGUGGGAAAAAGUAUCAUUGGUCCGGAACUUUCAACGAUCGCGCGAAAAGAUUCUCGUCCGUCGAUAACGGAAUAUUCACUUAUGCGAAAACUCGUCGUUUCUCUAGCAACGAUCGCGAGAUCAUUGCCACGGAUUCGAAUUACGAUUACAAUUUGGAUGGGUUCGAUGACGAGAAGACCGUCAAGAAGAAAUUGUUUCGCUGCGAUAAAUUCAACUUUACCGACGAAAGAAGCAACGAGAGCGCGAGACAUUUGCUCGAUCGUCGAUCAUCGUUAGAUUUUUUCGAAGAAAGAUAUAACAUACCGCGUGGAGAAGAGGGAAAUCAUCGUCAUCGUGAUCAUGGUCAUCGUUCUCAUCGACGAAACGGAACGAUCGAACAACGAGGGAACGAGAAAAGUGAAGAGAUCUUCGCCUCGGCGAGCUCCUCCGGAUCCUUCGACCGCGUCGAUAACUACGAUCCCGAUCAAUCCACCAUUAUCGAUCGAUAUAAACUCACCCUCUCCACCGUGUACGUUCGUAAACAUCGUUGGACAUCGAUCAACGAUCAAUCCAAAAUCAUAGUUUGCAAUUUUGUGUCAUUUUUCAAAGAUAUUAUUCUUUUUACUUUUUUACCCAGCCUGUACAUAGCAAUUUUUAUUUACGCGAACAGAACGGAGGAGGGAUAAGUUUUCGAUAACGCGUUUUUCCAACAGGGAUCAAUCUUUUUCGCACUAUACAUUCCUCCUUUUCUUUUUUUUUUUUUUUUUUUUUUUUUUUUUUUUUNUUUUUUUUUUUUUUUUUUUUAUUAUUCCUUUUCUCAUCGUUUCCUUUUUACAUUAUAUUUUUUUUUCCCUUCUCCUCUUUGCCCUUUCUAUUGAUAUCUUUCUAUCGAUAAUAUAAUAAUUUUUAUAUUUUGACAUCAAAUCUUUAGCGUUACAAAAAUAAAAUAGACAAAGCGAGUAACACAUCGCACAACGUUUUGCGGAUUUCUAUUGGUAUACGAUUUUUUUUUUUUUUUAUUUUUAAUUUCGACGAUAAUUAUAAAUGUAACAAAACUAACCGAUAUAUACACGCGAUAAUUGAAUAAUUUUAUUUCAAAAUUUAUUUAACGAAUGAAAAUUUACGAAUAUAUGUACUAUUUUUUUAUUAUUAUUAUUAUUAUUAUUAUUAUUAUUAUUAUUAUUAUCAUUAUAUGUAUAUAUUUUUUUUCCAUUAAUCGAAACAGUGUAUAAACAGUGAUUUAAUUCGACGAAUAUUGAAUCAACAGAAGAUAAAUCAGAUUGUUUUUUACGAUCACGGCCAUUCGUUAUUAUCGUAUAUUCGAAUAGGCAAUAUAACAUUUCGUUUUUUAUUUUCUCGAGAACGAAAAUAUAUAUGUAUAUAGAAACAUAUAUAGGAAAAAAGUAGAUAGAAAAAAAAAAAAAGAAACGAGGCUGUCGCGUUGUUCGCGUUUGCCCCGCGAAAAUGAUUGUUUUCUAGCUAUCGGUAAAAGGAGCAAAGGCUCGUACAACAGCAGUGGUAACGACAACACCAUCAACCACAACAACAACAACAACGACAACAACAACAACAACAACAACAACAUUGAUUGAUAACAUUUGAACGUAACGUCACAAACCGUUGCAGAUUUGAGACGGAAAAGAACAAAGUUUGAGUCGCCCAACCUGAGGAAGUUCUUGUUGCAUAGACGUCUGAUAGAGAGAUUACAAUUUUCCGAUGAAUAUGCCCAAAAGUGGGAACAGCUAUUGGUGCAGCAGCGCGAUAUCUUUAACG